CGUUCUUCUUCUGUUCACUCUCUACUCUCCAGUGUCCUGACCUGUGAUCUCCACCUGCCUUGGUUUCCCGAGACUCUGAGCUUCAUCACCUCCACUCAGGGAGUCUGAUGCAGUAGGAGUUGGAAAAAAGUAUAACUGAAGAACUAGAAAACGCUGCUGCUGAAUUUGAAUCUGGAUCCUGCAGAGACUUUCCUCCAGGAUCUACUGAUGUGUCAUGUCUAAAUCAAGAUCUAGUUUUGAAAAUGUCACAAGAAUACGUCCAGCUUUUGAAGAAAAGUUAUAUGACCUGAAAAAUAAACAGCAUAAAUUUAUUUACUAGGCAGCUUCCAUAACAUUUAAAUUAUUUCCCAUUAAACAUAUGACAUAUGAAAAUCUUAAA
Molecule: long non-coding RNA, 379 nt
Filed under: Equus caballus (horse)
Lineage: Eukaryota; Metazoa; Chordata; Mammalia; Perissodactyla; Equidae
Description: lncRNA (ENSECAG00000047172.1)
Source: RNAcentral